ACGUAGGGUCCGAGCGUUGUCCGGAAUUAUUGGGCGUAAAGGGCUCGUAGGCGGUUUGUCACGUCGGGAGUGAAAACUCAGGGCUCAACCCUGAGCGUGCUUCCGAUACGGGCAGACUAGAGGUAUGCAGGGGAGAACGGAAUUCCUGGUGUAGCGGUGGAAUGCGCAGAUAUCAGGAGGAACACCGAUGGCGAAGGCAGAUCUCUGGGCCGUAACUGACGCUGAGGAGCGAAAGCAUGGGGAGCGAACAGGA
Molecule: ribosomal RNA, 253 nt
Filed under: uncultured prokaryote
Description: partial 16S ribosomal RNA
Rfam family: Bacterial small subunit ribosomal RNA
Source: RNAcentral